GGGAGGGAGGGAGGGAGGAGGGGGUAGAGCGCUCCCUAAACUGUGCCCAAAGAGGAAGCCCAUGGAGGUACAGCCAGAGCCACAGGUACUCCCCCUAAACCAGAAUUGCUUCAGCUGCCGCUUCCCCCACAGGACUAGUAGACACCCACGAGGAUCUGGGGUUACCCGUGGACCUGUACUUACAGGAUCAGUUCUCCUAAGCACCUCCCAGAGUUCUGAGUCCUUUGCCUCCUCCGGGGAGCCUUCCUGAACAUACCUUUAGCACACCCUCUCACAGCCCAAGCUCAAAGGCAUUCGAGGGCUGCCUGCUUCUGGUCUUGGUCUGGUUGCUUAAUAAUGCCUUUGUGUACAAUGGACUGAGCACGCGAACUUGGCCUGGAAGACACCGCUUUCUUCCUAGUGCCUAGCCACCAGUGUGGAGUCGGGAGCUACUGUUUUACCAGCACUUAGAAGAAUGAGAGGAGCAAUGGCAUGGAGACAGCCACUCUUGCUUGUACUCGGGAACUCCUGACCCCGUGGAGAGGGCUAAGCCCCGGGAAGGAAGCAGUGGCUCUCAGGCUGAGCUCUUGAGCUCUCUGGAGAACUGGGCCCAGUGUCCUCACCUCUCCACCUGGUCCCAGCCCUGCCCUGGCCCCAGCGGAUACCUGAUGCUCCCCGGAAAGAUGCACCUCACCCAGUCCUCUCUCCUGGCCCCUAGGCCUGGCAUUGAGGCCCGAGAUCCGAUUACAGCCCCCACCCCCUGCUCCCUCGCACACAACUUGCCACAUUGUUGCUGUAGGAAAGUUAUCGAGCCCUGCAGCCCUGCACGCUGACCCCACGUUGACUCACUCACCUGGAUUGGGCCCCUGAGUCCCAGGGACUUCCUGGGUGGGGGCGGGG
Molecule: long non-coding RNA, 879 nt
Organism: Mesocricetus auratus (golden hamster)
Lineage: Eukaryota; Metazoa; Chordata; Mammalia; Rodentia; Cricetidae
Exons: 3
Source: RefSeq, a predicted model, not a curated record